Molecule: ribosomal RNA, 498 nt
Filed under: uncultured bacterium
Lineage: Bacteria
Description: bacterial SSU rRNA
Rfam family: Bacterial small subunit ribosomal RNA
Source: RNAcentral
GAUAAACGCUAGCGGCAGGCCUAACACAUGCAAGUCGUACGGUAAGGCUCUUUCGGGAGCACACGAGUGGCGCACGGGUGAGUAACGCGUAUGCAAUCUACCCCUUACUGGGGGAUAGCCCGGGGAAACCCGAACUAAUAUCCCAUAAUACUGUUAAUUUGCAUGAAUUAACAGUUAAAGCUACGGUGGUAAGGGAUGAGCAUGCGUGCCAUUAGCUAGUUGGUAGGGUAAAAGCCUACCAAGGCUAUGAUGGCUAGGGGCCUGAGAGGGUGGUCCCCACACUGGUACUGAGAUACGGACCAGACUCCUACGGGAGGCAGCAGUGAGGAAUUUGGGCAAUGGGCGAAAGCCUGACCCAGCCAUGCCGCGUGCAGGAUGAAGGCCCUAAGGGUCUUAAAACUGCUUUUAUACGAGAGGAAAUCUCUGAUCGAGAAUCGGAGUUGACUGUAUCGUACGAAUAAGCAUUGGCUAACUCCGUGCCAGCAGCCGCGGUAAUAU